Molecule: ribosomal RNA, 814 nt
Filed under: uncultured bacterium
Lineage: Bacteria
Description: bacterial SSU rRNA
Rfam family: Bacterial small subunit ribosomal RNA
Source: RNAcentral
CAUGCAAGUCGAACGGCAGCACGGGAGCAAUCCUGGUGGCGAGUGGCGAACGGGUGAGUAAUAUAUCGGAACGUGCCCAAUCGUGGGGGAUAACGCAGCGAAAGCUGUGCUAAUACCGCAUACGAUCUAUGGAUGAAAGCGGGGGAUCGCAAGACCUCGCGCGAAUGGAGCGGCCGAUAUCAGAUUAGCUAGUUGGUGGGGUAAAAGCUCACCAAGGCGACGAUCUGUAGCUGGUCUGAGAGGACGACCAGCCACACUGGAACUGAGACACGGUCCAGACUCCUACGGGAGGCAGCAGUGGGGAAUUUUGGACAAUGGGCGAAAGCCUGAUCCAGCAAUGCCGCGUGCAGGAUGAAGGCCUUCGGGUUGUAAACUGCUUUUGUACGGAGCGAAACGGUUAUCUCUAAUAAAGAUGGCUAAUGACGGUACCGUAAGAAUAAGCACCGGCUAACUACGUGCCAGCAGCCGCGGUAAUACGUAGGGUGCGAGCGUUAAUCGGAAUUACUGGGCGUAAAGCGUGCGCAGGCGGUUUUGUAAGACAGAUGUGAAAUCCCCGGGCUCAACCUGGGACCUGCAUUUGUGACUGCAAAGCUAGAGUACGGUAGAGGGGGAUGGAAUUCCGCGUGUAGCAGUGAAAUGCGUAGAUAUGCGGAGGAACACCGAUGGCGAAGGCAAUCCCCUGGACCUGUACUGACGCUCAUGCACGAAAGCGUGGGGAGCAAACAGGAUUAGAUACCCUGGUAGUCCACGCCCUAAACGAUGUCAACUGGUUGUUGGGUCUUUGCUGACUCAGUAACGAAGCUAACGCGUGAAG